AGAAAAGGCAGACCUGCCAACAGGAAGAUGUUUGUACGCCUCGCUGCUCUCUAGGUAAAUUCAUACAAAUUAUGGAUAGGAAAACACAAGUGUGGUUUUUAACCAUGGAUUCCAGAUAGUCCUCAAAUUUGUUGGAUCUUCUUGGCACACCCUGCAAUCAUCAACCUCGACGACCAGUCGCUGCCCAGCCAAGUGACAGGAAGCGAGCAUGUUAACAAGCAGUGAACAGUCUCUGAGUGGCCUGCCCAUCACCUGCAUGCUCCCACACACCGCAUUCUCCAUCUUUGCACCAGCAUGGAGUUGCCGCUAAGAGAGGCUACUGGAGAGGAGGUGAAAUGGUACGAGCUCCUGAUGCCGCUUCUGGAACCCAUGGUGGAGAUGGACGUCCUGGACAACCAUCUAAAUCAUUCACCACCACCCCCACUCGUCGACCCAGAAGAGCUGCCAAUGUUAACUCUGUUAACAGAAGAUGGUAUAGGCUACCUGGACGACCAGCACACCCUGCAACCAUCAACUUCAACGACCAAUCGCUGUCCAGCCAAAUGAGAGGAAGCGAGAAUGUUAACAAACAGUACAUGAACAAUCAGUAAACAGUUGCUGAGUGGCCUCUCCAUCACCUGCAUGCUCCCACUCCACCGUGGAAGUCACUCUCACUGUCAGAUCAAGCAAAGUAUUACCAGCUAGCCGACAUAGAGAAACAUAUCCACCAAGAGAUGUACCCAAACUGGUCCUGCACAGACAACUAUGGCAAAAGGAAGAGGAAGCAGAGGACAAAGGUCUCGACAGGAGAACAAUGUCCAUGUGGUUGCCACUGUGGGACACAAUAAAAGAAAAGGCAGACCUGCCAACAGGAAUACACUUGUACGCCUCGCUGCUCCUUUGGUACGCAUUUUGUUGCAUUUGGAGUUCGGUCUCCUUGUCUCAUUAAUUACCAUCGUUUUUUUUGCGUUGAAGGAAGCUGACGAGCUAAAUAGUCAACCAGGGUUUAGGUUGAUCCCAGACGUAACUUCACACGCUCAACGCUGAUGAAGAUAAAAAAGCAGGGGUGUUCAAAAUGCGGCCUUGAGGCCAUUUGCUGACUGUGGCUUAAUUGGCCCACAGCAUAUUGUAGAUACAAAAUUAGACUUCAAAAAAUGAGAAAUGGCCCUGUGAUGAGGUGGCGACUUGUCCAGAGUGUACCCCGCCUCCGCCCGAAUGCAGCUGAGAUUGUCUCCAGCACCCCCCGCGACCCCAAAAGGGACAAGCGGUAGAAAAUGGAUGGAUGGAAAUGAGAAAAACAAAGUCAAAGUCAUUAUGUAACAAGAAAAGAAGGGGUGGGAGAACUCAUAAAAUGUCUUCAAAAUUGGCAGAUCUGAAAAUGUGCUGCUGUUUGACAAAAGCUACUAUUAAAAUGUCCUUUCUUCCAUAAAUUCAUACUUCUUUUUUCCAGUUUAUGGAAAGAAAAACUUAUUUGUGGGUUUUAACCAUGAUUUCAGAUAAGACAUCAUCAACCAUACAACUUAAUGCAUGCAAUACAUUUAGUUUUAUUAAUGCAUAAAGAGCUUAAUAACAGCUGAGAUCUCCCCUACGCCCCAUUCAGACAUCAACACUUUAAAUGGGUUUUUUUAUAGCUAUUUGUUGUUGUUGUGUCAACAACCCUACUUAUAUCAACAAUUAAAGAAAGGCGUUUUAAGAAAUUUCGAGUUACAUAACUUUAGGUAGACACAUAAAUAUAUCAUCCCGAUGUACAGUUUUGCCCGUCAUGUUAACAAUCCUAACAUUGUAUGCAUAUCAUUUUAAUAUCUGCUCUCCCUUCAAUUUUUUUAUCUUUCCUUUUUCAAUUGACUUAACAGUUUUCAAAACAUUUCAAAAGCCAAGUAAUUUUUUUGUAUUGAAUUGUAAGAAGACAUCUCAUGAGAAGAUUGUUAAACCUUUUAUGCAACACCAUAGGCGCCGAUCUACAUUUCUGCCAAUGAGUGCUUGGACAGGCGGUAAAUCUGACGCUACUAUUCUGAGUAUGCACGGUUUUUGCUUGGGGGUGAAAAAUAAUUUGCCAUCAAUCCAACGUGGGUGCUCGGCAUUGUCUGUGGGUGCUCGGGCCCCGAAGAACCCACGGGAUCAGCGCCUAUGUGCAAGACCAGCAUGGAGCUGACGGCUGAGAGGCUACUGGAGAGGAGGUGAAGUGGUACGAGCUCCUGAUGCCGCUCCUCCAACCAGUGAUGGAGUUGGACGUCCUGGACAACUAUCAAAAUCAUUCACCACCAUCUCUACAAGCAGUACAUGAUCCAUCAGUGAACAUUCUCUGAGUGGCCUGUCCAUCACCUGCAUGCUCCCACUCCACCGGCACAGUCACCAAGCUCUGUGGAAACCAAUAUUGACCGCUGACUUAUUGGCCGGAAAAGCAGAAGCUCAUACCCUGCGCUCAACUCCCUCCUCGUGUAUCGUCGUAGUGGCCAACCCAUGGACGCCCGUCUCCCCGCCAGUCGCAGCAUUGCUCUAUUCGGCGACGCCAUCUAAAUCUUUUUUUCUGGCUGCGGGGACUCAUGGCUUGGACUGGCGGCCGUCCCUCUGGUUCUUUGUGGCUGGGACGCUGUUUUAGUGACCCUCUGCCAGGUCCACCUCCCUUUGUUUUUUGGGGAACAUCUAGGAUCCGUUCCUUGGGGUAAGGGGGGUGUGUUCCUUUCAUGAUCCCACAUGACAGUUUGGACAUUAUUAUGUUUCCUGUACGUUGUAUUAUUUCCUGCCCAGUGCUUUUAUUUUUUGUUCCACUUCCUGUCUGCCUUUGUUUACCAGCCACAUUACUUCUGAAAUGAGAACCUGCCACUAGUUUGUAAUUAGUAGGCUCACCUGCCAGCAAUCACUAAUCAUUAAGCUUCUUAUGCCUGCCUUGUCCAGAGAACAAUGCUGAUUCAGUUGAUUUUUGUAUGUAAAAAGAAAACAUGUUUUUGUGUGGAUCAUAUGAUGAGUGAGUGUUAAGGGAGGGAACACUCAUUAUGGCAAAAAAAUAAAAUAUAAACUGUUUAGGUUUUUAGUCAGGCUUCCUUCUUGUCAUCCAUUCUUCUGUACUAUGUAAAAAAGAGAAUUGAUCAAACAUGGAUGGUUAAAGAAUGGCUGUGUGUUGGUAUUGAUGCUUUUAUUUUGCUCCUACUGUGUGGAAAGCUAUAAUGCAUAU
Molecule: long non-coding RNA, 3151 nt
Organism: Entelurus aequoreus (snake pipefish)
Lineage: Eukaryota; Metazoa; Chordata; Actinopteri; Syngnathiformes; Syngnathidae
Exons: 10
Source: RefSeq, a predicted model, not a curated record